AACGAACGCUGGCGGCGUGCCUAACACAUGCAAGUCGUACGAGAAAUCCUGGGCAACUGGGAUAGUAAAGUGGCGCACGGGUGAGUAACGCGUGGGUAACCUACCCUUGGACUUGGGAUAACUCCGCGAAAGCGAAGUUAAUACCGAAUGACAUUCCGAUUCUUAAGGGGGUUGGAAUCAAAGAUGGCCUCUGCAUGCAAGCUAUCGUCCAUGGACGGGCCCGCGUACCAUUAGCUUGUUGGUAGGGUAAAAGCCUACCAAGGCAACGAUGGUUAGCUGGUCUUAGAGGAUGGCCAGCCACACUGGAACUGAGACACGGUCCAGACUCCUACGGGUGGCUG
Molecule: ribosomal RNA, 341 nt
Filed under: uncultured Pseudomonadota bacterium
Lineage: Bacteria; Pseudomonadati; Pseudomonadota
Description: bacterial SSU rRNA
Rfam family: Bacterial small subunit ribosomal RNA
Source: RNAcentral